AAGGAUCAUUAAAGAGUAAGAGCCACUCGGGCUCGACCUCCAACCCUCUGUGUACCUACCUCAGUUGCUUUGGCGGGCCGCUGGGCCAAAAGCCCACCACUUGCCCAGGCCGGUGAGCGCCCGUCAGAGACCCUUCAAACCUUACCUCCCCUUGACGUCUGAGUAUCAUACAAUCGUUAAAACUUUCAACAACGGAUCUCUUGGUUCUGGCAUCGAUGAAGAACGCAGCGAAAUGCGAUAAGUAAUGUGAAUUGCAGAAUUCAGUGAAUCAUCGAAUCUUUGAACGCACAUUGCGCCUCUUGGUAUUCCAGGAGGCAUGCCUGUUCGAGCGUCAUUUCAACCCUCAAGCUCGGCUUGGUCAUGGGCCGCAUCCGGCAAGGUUGGGCCCCAAAUUCAGUGGCGGUGCCGCCCGGCUUCAAGCGUAGUGAUGAAUCUUUGUCGCUUUGGAGGUCGGGCGUGCUGCUUGCCAUCCAAACCCCCAUCUCAAGAGUUGACCUCGGAUCAGGUAGGGAUACCCGCUGAACUUAA
Molecule: ribosomal RNA, 528 nt
Filed under: Candelaria concolor
Lineage: Eukaryota; Fungi; Ascomycota; Candelariomycetes; Candelariales; Candelariaceae
Description: eukaryotic LSU rRNA
Rfam family: 5.8S ribosomal RNA (bases 181-334)
Source: RNAcentral